AUUGAACGCUGGCGGCAGGCCUAACACAUGCAAGUCGAGCGGAUGAAGGGAGCUUGCUCCUGGAUUCAGCGGCGGACGGGUGAGUAAUGCCUAGGAAUCUGCCUGGUUGUGGGGGAUAACGUCCGGAAACGGGCGCUAAUACCGCAUACGUCCUGAGGGAGAAAGUGGGGGAUCUUCGGACCUCACGCUAUCAGAUGAGCCUAGGUCGGAUUAGCUAGUUGGUGGGGUAAAGGCCUACCAAGGCGACGAUCCGUAACUGGUCUGAGAGGAUGAUCAGUCACACUGGAACUGAGACACGGUCCAGACUCCUACGGGAGGCAGCAGUGGGGAAUAUUGGACAAUGGGCGAAAGCCUGAUCCAGCCAUGCCGCGUGUGUGAAGAAGGUCUUCGGAUUGUAAAGCACUUUAAGUUGGGAGGAAGGGCAGUAAGUUAAUACCUUGCUGUUUUGACGUUACCAACAGAAUAAGCACCGGCUAACUUCGU
This 483-nucleotide ribosomal RNA is filed under the name uncultured bacterium. RNAcentral describes it as "partial 16S ribosomal RNA". It matches the Rfam family "Bacterial small subunit ribosomal RNA", at positions 30 to 506 of the family's 1533-position model. The record is from RNAcentral.